GGGGAUUUAGCUCAGUGGUAGAGUGCUUGCCUAGGAAGCUCAAGGCCCUGGGUUCGAUCCCCAGCUCCG
This 69-nucleotide transfer RNA is filed under the name Rattus norvegicus (Norway rat). It matches the Rfam family "tRNA". From Rfam's summary of the family: Transfer RNA (tRNA) molecules are approximately 80 nucleotides in length. Their secondary structure includes four short double-helical elements and three loops (D, anti-codon, and T loops). Further hydrogen bonds mediate the characteristic L-shaped molecular structure. tRNAs have two regions of fundamental functional importance: the anti-codon, which is responsible for specific mRNA codon recognition, and the 3' end, to which the tRNAs corresponding amino acid is attached (by aminoacyl-tRNA synthetases). tRNAs cope with the degeneracy of the genetic code in two manners: having more than one tRNA (with a specific anti-codon) for a particular amino acid; and 'wobble' base-pairing, i.e. permitting non-standard base-pairing at the 3rd anti-codon position. The record is from Rfam by way of RNAcentral. Lineage: Eukaryota; Metazoa; Chordata; Mammalia; Rodentia; Muridae.